AAGUCGUAACAAGGUUUCCGUAGGUGAACCUGCGGAAGGAUCAUUCAUAAUUGAGUGUUUUAUGGCACUCUUUAAAAAAUCCAUAUCAACCUUGUGUGCAACGUUUUUAGACACCCUGGCGCUGAUAUCUCUUUUAAGAGAAGGAAAGCCAGGAUGUUUGAUUAACUUAACUCAACUCCUUUAAAACAGUUUGUCUGAAUACCUAUUUCUGAAUAACAUAAUUCAAAAAUACAACUUUCAACAACGGAUCUCUUGGCUCUC
This 261-nucleotide unclassified non-coding RNA is filed under the name Haplosporangium bisporale. Its description in RNAcentral is "partial internal transcribed spacer region". The stretch from base 1 to 46 matches the Rfam family "Eukaryotic small subunit ribosomal RNA", at positions 1786 to 1831 of the family's 1831-position model. The record is from RNAcentral. Lineage: Eukaryota; Fungi; Mortierellomycota; Mortierellomycetes; Mortierellales; Mortierellaceae.